This 40-nucleotide ribosomal RNA is filed under the name Polyporus cf. radicatus TENN59572. RNAcentral's name for it is "partial large subunit ribosomal RNA". The record is from RNAcentral. Lineage: Eukaryota; Fungi; Basidiomycota; Agaricomycetes; Polyporales; Polyporaceae.
CUGGCCUCAAAUCAGGUGGGAUUACCCGCUGAACUUAAGC